GCCUUGUGUCUGAAAGGGCGACGGCGUAAGCUGGAGCGGGGUCUCAGCAGAGGUCAUAGUAGUCGGGGGUAGCGCCGGGAAGGCUCGACGCCUCUGACGAAGGAC
Molecule: non-coding RNA, 105 nt
Filed under: Janthinobacterium saanense
Lineage: Bacteria; Pseudomonadati; Pseudomonadota; Betaproteobacteria; Burkholderiales; Oxalobacteraceae
Source: RNAcentral